Molecule: non-coding RNA, 29 nt
Filed under: Mus musculus (house mouse)
Lineage: Eukaryota; Metazoa; Chordata; Mammalia; Rodentia; Muridae
Source: RNAcentral
ACUGCGUGCCACUACGAUUUGGUAUCUUA